CUCUAGAUUUUCCGGUUGAUCCUGCCGGACCUGACUGCUAUCGGAUUGGUACUAAGCCAUGCGAGUCAUUGUACAAUACAAGGCGGACGGCUCAGUAACACGUAGUCAACCUAACUUAUGGACGUGGAUAACCUCGGGAAACUGAGAAUAAACCACGAUAGAUCAUUAUGCCUGCAAUGGCUUAUGGUCGAAAUAGUUUACUGCCAUGGGAUGGGACUGCGGCCUAUCAGCUUGUUGGUGAGGUAAUGGCCCACCAAGGCUAUAACAGGUACGGGCUCUGAGAGGAGAAGCCCGGAGAUGGGUACUGAGACACGGACCCAGGCCCUAUGGGGCGCAGCAGGCGAGAAACCUUAGCCAAUGGUGCGAAAGCACGACUGGGUCAGUCCGAGUGAUUCCUGCUAACGGAAUCUUUUUUGCUUGUCCUACCAAGCACAGGUGAAUAAGGGGUGGGCACGUCUGGUGUCAGCCGCCGCGGUAAUACCAGCACCUCGAGUGGUCAGGACGUUCAUUGGGCCUAAAGCAUCCGUAGCCGGCUCUGCCAGUCUUCGGUUACAUCCACCUGUUCAACAGAUGGGCCGCUGGAGAUACU
Molecule: ribosomal RNA, 589 nt
Filed under: uncultured archaeon
Lineage: Archaea
Description: bacterial SSU rRNA
Rfam family: Archaeal small subunit ribosomal RNA
Source: RNAcentral